Long non-coding RNA from Limulus polyphemus (Atlantic horseshoe crab), 162 nucleotides. RefSeq lists it as uncharacterized. Lineage: Eukaryota; Metazoa; Arthropoda; Merostomata; Xiphosura; Limulidae. The record is from RefSeq and is a predicted model, not a curated record. The transcript has 3 exons.
GAGCCCAGAUAACAUCAUCUUUGUGAUGGAUGCUUCAAUAGGUCAGGCUUGUGAUGUUCAGGCACGAGCUUUUAAAGAGAAAGUAGAUGUAGGAGCUGUGAUUGUCACAAAAUUAGAUGGACAUGCUAAAGGAGGUGGAGCUCUUAGUGCGGUAGCAGCAAC